RNAcentral lists this ribosomal RNA (228 nucleotides) under uncultured bacterium. RNAcentral describes it as "partial 16S ribosomal RNA". It matches the Rfam family "Bacterial small subunit ribosomal RNA", at positions 568 to 795 of the family's 1533-position model. The record is from RNAcentral.
UGCGUAGGCGGACUAAUAAGUCAGUGGUGAAAUCUUUCGGCUCAACCGAGAAACCGCCAUUGAUACUGUUAGUCUUGAGUUCGGUUGAGGUAGGCGGAAUGUGUAAUGUAGCGGUGAAAUGCUUAGAUAUUACACAGAACACCAAUUGCGUAGGCAGCUUACUAGACCGACACUGACGCUGAGGCACGAAAGCGUGGGGAGCGAACAGGAUUAGAUACCCUGGUAGUC